Paramisgurnus dabryanus is the source of this 683-nucleotide long non-coding RNA. RefSeq lists it as uncharacterized. The record is from RefSeq and is a predicted model, not a curated record. Lineage: Eukaryota; Metazoa; Chordata; Actinopteri; Cypriniformes; Cobitidae.
CAGAGUUUUAAGCACGUGACUUUCUUUGUCAUCGGAGCGCUUGUCAGUCAGUAGUAUUUUUACUUUAUUAUCGCUCACGCUCGAAUCUGCUAUAAUGACUGAUAAAGACAUCAUAUCUGAUGGCGCCGCCGGUCACAGAAUAUUUUUUGCCCCGCUGGGAUCCGUGCAUUGGAUGAGAGCAGAGGGAAGAUGCCCUUUAGAUGAAAAUGCAUUUAAGAAAUAAAGCCGUGCUUUAGUUAAACCAUGAAUGGACCACAAGGAAAGGACUUUAAACGAUUCAGAGGAUUGCAAGUCUUUCCACAGACCGAUCUUAAAAGGCAUGAUGGAGCAAGCCAACCAGAAGAAAAUUAAUGGCAUUUUUAUUAAGAAGGGCCGAAAGACUGAAAAAUGUAUGAAGGUGGUGAUGGAAUAAGAAUUUCACGCCUACUGUAUCUACCACAAAUGGUUUUCACACAUCAAAUAUGGCUAAGAAAGAAAGGCCAGAUGAACAGAAGUGUUAAUGCAUCAUUUUAAUAUCAUGCUAGCUAGGUUAUGGUUGUGUAUUUCUUUGUUCUCCUACUAUGUGCCUAACUGGUUUCAUAAUAAACAUUUAAGAAUGCUGCCAUUGUAAAAAGAUAUUUGUCUGCAUGUUAAUGCUUGUACGAAUUUAGUGUUAUUUGUAAUAAAGUGUAUAAAACCUAGAA